This 3005-nucleotide ribosomal RNA is filed under the name Salmonella enterica subsp. enterica serovar Othmarschen. RNAcentral's name for it is "23S ribosomal RNA". It matches the Rfam family "Bacterial large subunit ribosomal RNA". Lineage: Bacteria; Pseudomonadati; Pseudomonadota; Gammaproteobacteria; Enterobacterales; Enterobacteriaceae. The record is from RNAcentral.
GGUUAAGCGACUAAGCGUACACGGUGGAUGCCCUGGCAGUCAGAGGCGAUGAAGGGCGUGCUAAUCUGCGAUAAGCGCCGGUAAGGUGAUAUGAACCGUUAUAACCGGCGAUACCCGAAUGGGGAAACCCAGUGUGACUCGUCACACUAUCAUUAACUGAAUCCAUAGGUUAAUGAGGCGAACCGGGGGAACUGAAACAUCUAAGUACCCCGAGGAAAAGAAAUCAACCGAGAUUCCCCCAGUAGCGGCGAGCGAACGGGGAGGAGCCCAGAGCCUGAAUCAGCAUGUGUGUUAGUGGAAGCGUCUGGAAAGGCGCGCGAUACAGGGUGACAGCCCCGUACACAAAAGCGCAUGUGCUGUGAGCUCGAUGAGUAGGGCGGGACACGUGGUAUCCUGUCUGAAUAUGGGGGGACCAUCCUCCAAGGCUAAAUACUCCUGACUGACCGAUAGUGAACCAGUACCGUGAGGGAAAGGCGAAAAGAACCCCGGCGAGGGGAGUGAAAAAGAACCUGAAACCGUGUACGUACAAGCAGUGGGAGCCCCACCACUAAGCCAGUGGUGAACUCCACAUACGCAUCCUUUGCUGAGGAUACGGUUAACGGAGCGAAAGCGACGUUCAACCUCAAAAGAAGCAGAGGGGGCUUAGUGGUGGGGUGACUGCGUACCUUUUGUAUAAUGGGUCAGCGACUUAUAUUCUGUAGCAAGGUUAACCGAAUAGGGGAGCCGGAGGGAAACCGAGUCUUAAUUGGGCGUUAAGUUGCAGGGUAUAGACCCGAAACCCGGUGAUCUAGCCAUGGGCAGGUUGAAGGUUGGGUAACACUAACUGGAGGACCGAACCGACUAAUGUUGAAAAAUUAGCGGAUGACCUGUGGCUGGGGGUGAAAGGCCAAUCAAACCGGGAGAUAGCUGGUUCUCCCCGAAAGCUAUUUAGGUAGCGCCUCGUGAAUUCAUCUCCGGGGGUAGAGCACUGUUUCGGCUAGGGGGCCAUCCCGGCUUACCAACCCGAUGCAAACUGCGAAUACCGGAGAAUGUUAUCACGGGAGACACACGGCGGGUGCUAACGUCCGUCGUGAAGAGGGAAACAACCCAGACCGCCAGCUAAGGUCCCAAAGUCAUGGUUAAGUGGGAAACGAUGUGGGAAGGCCCAGACAGCCAGGAUGUUGGCUUAGAAGCAGCCAUCAUUUAAAGAAAGCGUAAUAGCUCACUGGUCGAGUCGGCCUGCGCGGAAGAUGUAACGGGGCUAAACCAUGCACCGAAGCUGCGGCAGCGACGCUGAUGCGUUGUUGGGUAGGGGAGCGUUCUGUAAGCCUGUGAAGGUGUGUCGUGAGGCAUGCUGGAGGUAUCAGAAGUGCGAAUGCUGACAUAAGUAACGAUAAAGCGGGUGAAAAGCCCGCUCGCCGGAAGACCAAGGGUUCCUGUCCAACGUUAAUCGGGGCAGGGUGAGUCGACCCCUAAGGCGAGGCCGAAAGGCGUAGUCGAUGGGAAACGGGUUAAUAUUCCCGUACUUGGUGUUACUGCGAAGGGGGGACGGAGAAGGCUAUGUUGGCCGGGCGACGGUUGUCCCGGUUUAAGCGUGUAGGCUGGUUUUCCAGGCAAAUCCGGAAAAUCAAGGCUGAGGCGUGACGACGAGGCACUACGGUGCUGAAGCAACAAAUGCCCUGCUUCCAGGAAAAGCCUCUAAGCAUCAGGUAACAUCAAAUCGUACCCCAAACCGACACAGGUGGUCAGGUAGAGAAUACCAAGGCGCUUGAGAGAACUCGGGUGAAGGAACUAGGCAAAAUGGUGCCGUAACUUCGGGAGAAGGCACGCUGACACGUAGGUGAAGUGAUUUACUCACGGAGCUGAAGUCAGUCGAAGAUACCAGCUGGCUGCAACUGUUUAUUAAAAACACAGCACUGUGCAAACACGAAAGUGGACGUAUACGGUGUGACGCCUGCCCGGUGCCGGAAGGUUAAUUGAUGGGGUCAGCGCAAGCGAAGCUCCUGAUCGAAGCCCCGGUAAACGGCGGCCGUAACUAUAACGGUCCUAAGGUAGCGAAAUUCCUUGUCGGGUAAGUUCCGACCUGCACGAAUGGCGUAAUGAUGGCCAGGCUGUCUCCACCCGAGACUCAGUGAAAUUGAACUCGCUGUGAAGAUGCAGUGUACCCGCGGCAAGACGGAAAGACCCCGUGAACCUUUACUAUAGCUUGACACUGAACAUUGAGCCUUGAUGUGUAGGAUAGGUGGGAGGCUUUGAAGUGUGGACGCCAGUCUGCAUGGAGCCGGCCUUGAAAUACCACCCUUUAAUGUUUGAUGUUCUAACGUGGACCCGUGAUCCGGGUUGCGGACAGUGUCUGGUGGGUAGUUUGACUGGGGCGGUCUCCUCCUAAAGAGUAACGGAGGAGCACGAAGGUUGGCUAAUCCUGGUCGGACAUCAGGAGGUUAGUGCAAUGGCAUAAGCCAGCUUGACUGCGAGCGUGACGGCGCGAGCAGGUGCGAAAGCAGGUCAUAGUGAUCCGGUGGUUCUGAAUGGAAGGGCCAUCGCUCAACGGAUAAAAGGUACUCCGGGGAUAACAGGCUGAUACCGCCCAAGAGUUCAUAUCGACGGCGGUGUUUGGCACCUCGAUGUCGGCUCAUCACAUCCUGGGGCUGAAGUAGGUCCCAAGGGUAUGGCUGUUCGCCAUUUAAAGUGGUACGCGAGCUGGGUUUAGAACGUCGUGAGACAGUUCGGUCCCUAUCUGCCGUGGGCGCUGGAGAACUGAGGGGGGCUGCUCCUAGUACGAGAGGACCGGAGUGGACGCAUCACUGGUGUUCGGGUUGUCAUGCCAAUGGCACUGCCCGGUAGCUAAAUGCGGAAGAGAUAAGUGCUGAAAGCAUCUAAGCACGAAACUUGCCCCGAGAUGAGUUCUCCCUGAGACUUAAAGUCUCCUGAAGGAACGUUGAAGACGACGACGUUGAUAGGCCGGGUGUGUAAGCGCAGCGAUGCGUUGAGCUAACCGGUACUAAUGAACCGUGAGGCUUAACCUU